This 282-nucleotide long non-coding RNA is filed under the name Lathyrus oleraceus (garden pea). Its description in RNAcentral is "Pisum sativum (pea) long non-coding RNA (PSAT_LNC001482)". Lineage: Eukaryota; Viridiplantae; Streptophyta; Magnoliopsida; Fabales; Fabaceae. The record is from RNAcentral.
UGAAACUUUAUUUUUCAUUAUAUAAGGAGGUUUGCGAGCUUAACCUUCUAAAAGCUCAUAAGCAUUAUUGGAAAAUAUCAAGAUCAAUUCUUGGGGGAGAGGAGUAGGUCGCAUCUUUUAUACCGAACCUCUAUAAAUCUCUAGUGUCAUCUCUUUUCCCUUGUCUUUUUAUUUUUCACGUAUUUUCGUUACAUUGAUUUUCUGCUGCAAUAUUUAAACGUUUAUUAGAAAAUAUUUUCAAACUUUAAUAUAGAAAAUAAUUCUUUUAAACCAACGUUUUUC